Molecule: small nucleolar RNA, 131 nt
Organism: Molossus molossus (Pallas's mastiff bat)
Lineage: Eukaryota; Metazoa; Chordata; Mammalia; Chiroptera; Molossidae
Source: RefSeq, a predicted model, not a curated record
AGCAAAUGCCUCAAGUUCAGUUUGGGGCGGCAUCUCUGUUCUGUUUAUUAAACUUUGGGUCAUUGAACCAGUUAGGGGAAAUGACUGAAUAGAACAUUUUACUCUAUUCAUUUACGUCCCAGCCUAAAAAA